UUUAUUGGAGAGUUUGAUCCUGGCUCAGGACGAACGCUGGCGGCGUGCCUAAUACAUGCAAGUCGAGCGAGUCUCUUCGGAGGCUAGCGGC
This 91-nucleotide ribosomal RNA is filed under the name Brevibacillus nitrificans. Its description in RNAcentral is "partial 16S ribosomal RNA". It matches the Rfam family "Bacterial small subunit ribosomal RNA", at positions 1 to 99 of the family's 1533-position model. Lineage: Bacteria; Bacillati; Bacillota; Bacilli; Caryophanales; Paenibacillaceae. The record is from RNAcentral.